RNAcentral lists this ribosomal RNA (628 nucleotides) under uncultured soil bacterium. Its description in RNAcentral is "bacterial SSU rRNA". It matches the Rfam family "Bacterial small subunit ribosomal RNA", at positions 34 to 678 of the family's 1533-position model. The record is from RNAcentral.
CGCUGGCGGCGUGCCUAACACAUGCAAGUCGAACGAGAAAGUGGAGCAAUCCAUGAGUAAAGUGGCGACCGGGUGAGUAACACGUGACUAACCUACCUUCGAGUGGGGGAUAACCUCGGGAAACCGGGGCUAAUACCGCAUAACAUCUUUGGAGUGGAAAUUCUGGAGAUCAAAGGAGCAAUUCGCUGGAAGAGGGGGUCGCGGCUGAUUAGCUAGUUGGCGGGGUAACGGCCCACCAAGGCAAAGAUCGGUAUCCGGCCUGAGAGGGCGCACGGACACACUGGAACUGAAACACGGUCCAGACUCCUACGGGAGGCAGCAGUGGGGAAUUUUGCGCAAUGGGGGAAACCCUGACGCAGCAACGCCGCGUGGAGGAUGAAGUCCCUUGGGACGUAAACUCCUUUCGACCCGGACGAUAAUGACGGUACGGGUGGAAGAAGCCCCGGCUAACUUCGUGCCAGCAGCCGCGGUAAUACGAGGGGGGCAAGCGUUGUUCGGAAUUAUUGGGCGUAAAGGGCGCGUAGGCGGUGCGGUAAGUCACCUGUGAAACCUCUAGGCUCAACCUAGAGCCUGCAGGCGAAACUGCCGUGCUUGAGGGUGGGAGAGGUGCGUGGAAUUCCCGGUGUAG